AAUAGGUGUGAAAUGAUUUGUGUAUUUAUGUACUGAAGGUACAGUAUAAACAAAAAAAUUUCAAUUUAUAUUUCACGUACAGACGGUACAGGUAACUCUGCCUAAGUCAACUUUCCAUAUGUGGUUAUUCGCCCAUUUAUGAGACCAGAUUAUUCAAAACAUGUUGGAUAUUCUAAGUCUUAUUUUUCUUAUAACCUAGUUCCUAUCGUCAUGAUUGGUGCCACAAUGGAAACGGUGGUCUUAAUCGUGGGAUAAUCGUAAUGAUCAUAUCAGAUCCUAUAAGAUAAGUCAAGGCAGUCGCAUUUAUGGCAAAUUUUUUUUGUGAAUGUUCAAAAAAUUUACGGUAUUCAGUUACAAAAGGAAAAUGGUGGCAUUCUUAAUGGAUCGCACGUCAGUGGGAACGCGGUACAAGUCAAACAGAUUUCUGCAGUCCCUAAAGAUUUGACCUGUAUUGGAAUGAUCAUACUUCAGCAUUUUGAUGUUCUGUCCCCUCCCUUUUUCUCUCUCUAUUCUCUUUCUGUAUUCUCUUUCUCUCCUCUUUCUGCCUCUGGUAUGUAUGUACAGAAAUGAACAUGUAAUGUUUCACUGGCUCUCCAUAUUGUAUUGACAAAUUGAGUGAAAAGGAGGAAAAUAUUAAACAGAAAUACACGUAAACUUUGAUUUUAGGAUUUUGUGAUUUAUUAAUCGCUUUUGAUACAAGACACAAUAGUCCAUGUCGUAAAUUUGCCAGAAUAAAACCUGGAACAAAGAAUGUAAAUGCUUUCUUUCUUUGCAUUACUUUCAAAAAGAUUCUGCAUAUAUUCAAAUGCAAGAAAUACGUAUUUGGAAAUUUUUGUCACGAUACAAGAAUAUGGUUGUCUGGCCGACAAUGAUUGCCAAAUCAUCCAAUAUUUUUCUUAAAAGGAAUACAUUCAAUCAACGUGUUUGCUGAUACCAUUUGAAAAUAAUGAUAGUAUAUUUGCUUCAAAAUGCUUCAUCAUUGUUAUAAAGAUGAGUGCCAAUAUGCACAUAAUAUGUAGCAUGUAAUCUCAUUAUUACACAGAAGCAUGUCUCAUGAUAUACCACAUGACUAGGAAUUUAAACGAUCUUCGGUGGAACACCUAAAAUUCUUUUACUAAACCAACAAUUGAACUUGACUUUUUUUUUAUUCUAGUCAGAAAGUGUAACAAAUAAGUCUUCUUUCAUUACUAGGCAGCAUGGGUCCCAAAUCAGAACUUUAAGGUAUUAUUUAAAUCUGGUUUAAUAAUAACUAUACAUUUGCAUUGGGCAAUUUCUAUACAUAAUCCACUGCGCAUUACAAUGUUAUUAUUACCCCGGCUAAAGUCAUGCUGCCCACAUGCGCUCUGGCCAUUGAGGAAUUUUUUCCUACCGGGUACCCAUUUACCUCACCUGAGUGCACCGCGAUGCGGGUUAAUUUCUUUCUGACGGAAAACACGCCAUGGAUGGGAAUCAAACCCACGUCCCUCAGAUUGAAAGAAGAGACAAAACCACUAGAUCACAACUUGUUACUGGGUUAAGCUGUAUAUUUCUAUUAUUCAUAGGGCUUUUAGUGAAGACGACUUUUGGAAAUAAUGCUCAUUUCCCCAAAAAGCCAACUGGAAUGUCAUCUGUAAUUAUAUUUGGUUACCCAUAAUUAUUGAGUUCAGAAUAUUUUUUCAGGUAAACUCUUAAGCUAGCCGUAAUUACAUCACCUUUUCAUAUCCAAUUCAACCCCAUGCAUGUAGUAUUUUUUUAGCAAAUAAGCUACAUUGAAUUGUCACAUCAAAAAUAUAAAAUUACAUUUUAAUCAACUAUUUUGUUUUCUUUUGGCCCAUCAAACAACUGGUCAUGGAAGUAUAAGGUUUAUUUUUUAACUCCUGGGCCCCAAUGCAUAGAAGUUACCAUUGUGGUCUUUACCAUCCAAUGGUAACUUGCAUGGAAUCCUUGAGUUUGAUUGGAUGCUGAUCAUCGUUGCUGUGGUAGUUACCAUUGGAUUUUACAAAGGGGCCCAAGGUCAAAGAUUAUUUUGCUUAUAGAAAUACCACACAAUACACUCUCCAUUUUAAAAUAAAUAAAUCUCUUGGACAAAAUGUAUAUCAUAUCACAUAAACCAUAUAAAAAUACAAUGACGUUGCACUGAAAUUUGCGAAACAACACCGGUGUUUUAAUUGCACAAAAUUAUGAAAUUUAGUAGUAUACAGAUAGCACCGCUCCCAUUACUUGUACAUAAACAUACAAGGUCUUGACAGAUCUUGGGCCCCGUUUCAUAAAGAUUUACAACUAAGGUAACUUAACUACCAUGGCAACCUUGAUUGUGAUUGUCUGCCGAGCCUCGUUAUCAUGGUAGUUGCAAUAAUGGUCAAGUUACUGUAUAAUAGUUGGGGGAUGCAGCAAAACCGUACUUUGUCAAUGUAAAUAAAUAUUUAUAGAUUGCUUGUUAUAGAUGAGAAUUAAUUCCAUCUUCGUAAAAGAUCAACCAGUGGGGCGUUUCACAUUUCAUGCCUAGUUGCUUGUGUUAUAAAAGGCAUGACCGCAUUGGUCAGAUCAUGCCAAGAGGACGCGCACUAAGUACUGCAUACUAGCCAAUAAGAUUGCGCAUUGCAUAUCAUGUACACAUCAACAUUUAAGUGCCACUCUAAGUCAUACUUAAAUAUGUGUGAAACACAUCCUUAACAUCAAUGUGCCAUAGAGCAUGUUUGUGAGGGAUUAUAAAUUUAUAAAUUAACAUAAUGAAGAUAAUGAUGUUUUUCUCCCUGAUGAAAUGACAUGAUCACAAUGAAAAUCCACAAGAAAUACGGUACAUGGUAUGCCAAAAGGGGGUUUCUCUAACAUUUAUAAUAUAUGAGCUUAAGUUCAGAUUACAUGUAUUCUGAUUUUAAUUGACAUUCUUACUACCAGUACACAUUAAAUGCAAAGUAUAUAUUUGUGUCAAUUUCAAAGAAAUUACAUGUAAAUCUUUUUUUAUUAUUAUCAAAAUGAUAUUUACCAAGGUAAAACUAAAAAAACAAACUUAGGGCUUGUAUUUUUCCAGUUCUCUCUUCUGUUGUUUUUAUAGAAUCAUCAUGCAUAAAAUGAUAAAUUGCGUAACAAAACACCCUGACACAAAAGACCACAUGUAUGUGACAGACCAGAAGAUGACUCGACAAUUGGUUCUCAUGGAAAAAUUUGGAGUUUUUUUCAUGUAUAGCAAUGGCAGUAGAGAGAAGUGGGUAAACUUUCGCUGGUAGACUCGCAAAUUUUCCCAUGAAAACAAACCCAAGUGAUGUGCUACAUGUGUUUGAUGAUAACUGAAAGAUACAUGUAAAA
Lytechinus variegatus (green sea urchin) is the source of this 3285-nucleotide long non-coding RNA. RefSeq lists it as uncharacterized. The record is from RefSeq and is a predicted model, not a curated record. The transcript is spliced from 2 exons. Lineage: Eukaryota; Metazoa; Echinodermata; Echinoidea; Temnopleuroida; Toxopneustidae.